Molecule: ribosomal RNA, 686 nt
Filed under: uncultured bacterium
Lineage: Bacteria
Description: bacterial SSU rRNA
Rfam family: Bacterial small subunit ribosomal RNA
Source: RNAcentral
UGCAAGUCGAGGGGCAGCAUGAUUGAAGCUUGCUUCAAUUGAUGGCGACCGGCGCACGGGUGAGUAACGCGUAUCCAACCUUCCGUACACUCAGGGAUAGCCUUUCGAAAGAAAGAUUAAUACCUGAUGGUAUGAUGAGAUUGCAUGAUAUCAUCAUUAAAGAUUCAUCGGUGUACGAUGGGGAUGCGUUCCAUUAGGUAGUAGGCGGGGUAACGGCCCACCUAGCCUACGAUGGAUAGGGGUUCUGAGAGGAAGGUCCCCCACAUUGGAACUGAGACACGGUCCAAACUCCUACGGGAGGCAGCAGUGAGGAAUAUUGGUCAAUGGACGAGAGUCUGAACCAGCCAAGUAGCGUGAAGGAUGAAGGUCCUACGGAUUGUAAACUUCUUUUAUAAGGGAAUAAAACCUCCCACGUGUGGGAGCUUGUAUGUACCUUAUGAAUAAGCAUCGGCUAACUCCGUGCCAGCAGCCGCGGUAAUACGGAGGAUGCGAGCGUUAUCCGGAUUUAUUGGGUUUAAAGAGAGCGCAGACGGGUCGUUAAGUCAGCUGUGAAAGUUUGGGGCUCAACCUUAAAAUUGCAGUUGAUACUGGCGUCCUUGAGUGCGGUUGAGGUGUGCGGAAUUCGUGGUGUAGCGGUGAAAUGCUUAGAUAUCACGAAGAACUCCGAUUGCGAAGGCAGCACACUA